CGCGCAGGCGGGUUUGUAAGUCAGAGGUGAAAUCCUACAGCUCAACUGUAGAACUGCCUUUGAUACUGCAAGCCUUGAGUUCGGAAGAGAGAGAUGGAAUUCCAGGUGUAGUGGUGAAAUACGUAGAUAUCUGGAAGAACACCAGUGGCGAAGGCGAUCUCUUGGUCCGUAACUGACGCUGGGGCGCGAAAGCGUGGGGAGCGAACAGGAUUAGAUACCCUGGUAGUCC
This 229-nucleotide ribosomal RNA is filed under the name uncultured bacterium. RNAcentral's name for it is "partial 16S ribosomal RNA". It matches the Rfam family "Bacterial small subunit ribosomal RNA", at positions 568 to 796 of the family's 1533-position model. The record is from RNAcentral.